AUGAUUGGCACCAGUGAUCAAGAGAGUCUACAUCUUAUUCCAACAGACCAGUAUGGUGAUGUCCUUGGGAUGGUUGGCGCUGCCCCAAUGCAAGCCUUUCCACAACCUCCGAGUACAAAGUCUGAUCGACAUGUAGAGAUUGCUGAAGGGGGCUUCUACGUGGAGAGGGAACUUGACGGAGCACUAGGUCUAGGCCACCUAAUGGAACAUUAUGUGGAAUCCCUGCAUGUGCAUGAUGUCUCGGUACGUACUAUUGCACCACAAGGCCUUUGGUGGGGCAAGCUUAGGUGGUGUUGCGUGGAGAGGUGCCCAAAAGUGGAUACCGUUUUCCCUGGGAAUUCAUUCACAUUUACUGCAUUGGAGACCUUGUGGGUGUCAGAUCUCCUGAUGGCCCGCUCGAUUUUGAGUAAAGGUUCACGCUUUUAUCCAUAUGGCGAUACCAAAUCCUUUGAAAAUUUACAGCACCUUCAGCUGCGUUCAUGCCCCACCCUCCAGUUUGUGAUCCCUCUGUGGGUCUCCUCCUUCCCCAGCUUGGAGACCCUCCACAUCAUCCACUGCAGCAACCUCAGCCACAUCUUCAUACUGGACGAAGAAUACCCUGAAGAAAUAACUACCCGCGGUGUACAAUUCCCAAAGCUUACCACCAUCCAACUGCACGACCUCCCAAAUCUGCAGCAAAUAUGCGAGGUCAAGAUGGUUGCCCCUGCGCUCAAGAGCAUCAAGAUCAGGGGAUGCUGGAGCCUGCGCCGGCUGCCAUCCGUGGGCGCACGUGGCAAUGGCAAGAAGAAGCCGGCCAUUGAGAUCGAGAAGGACGUGUGGGACGCCUUGGAGUGGGACGCCCGCCACCGCCCUGCCCACUUCGAGGCGCCUGUCCACUCGUGCUACUACAAGGAGAAGCUGCCCAGGGUCUCCGUCCUCAGGUGA
This 924-nucleotide ribosomal RNA is filed under the name Triticum aestivum (bread wheat). RNAcentral's name for it is "partial small subunit ribosomal RNA". Lineage: Eukaryota; Viridiplantae; Streptophyta; Magnoliopsida; Poales; Poaceae. The record is from RNAcentral.